UGCUCUUCCUAUCUUGCCAUGGCAUGGAUUUUACCCGUGACAAAAUGUGUUCCAUGGUCAAAAAAUGGCAGACAAUGAUUGAAGCCCAUGUUGAUGUCAAGAGUACCGAUGGUUACUUGCUUCGUCUGUUCUGUGUUGGUUUUACUAAAAAACACAACAAUCAGUUAUGGAAGACCUCUUAUGCUCAGCACCAACAAGUCUGCCAAAUCCGGAAGAAGAUGAUGGAAAUCAUGACCUGAGAGGUGCAGACAAAUGACUUGAAAGAAGUGGUCAAUAAAUUGAUUCCACACAGCAUUGGAAAAGACAUAGAAAAGGCUUGCCAAUCUAUUUAUCCUCUCCAUGAUAUCUUCGUUAGAAAAGUAAAAAUGCUGAAGAAGCCCAAGUUUGAAUUGGGAAAACUCAUGGAGCUUCAUGGUGAAGGCAGUAGUUCUGGAAAAGCCACUGGGGAUGUGACAGGUGCUAAAAUUGAACGAGCUGAUGGAUAUGAACCACCAGUCCAAGAAUCUGUUUAAAGUUCAGACUUAUAAUAGUGGCAAAUAAAAAGCCUUAUUUGUG
This is a long non-coding RNA of Cebus imitator (Panamanian white-faced capuchin), 555 nucleotides long. RefSeq lists it as uncharacterized. Lineage: Eukaryota; Metazoa; Chordata; Mammalia; Primates; Cebidae. The record is from RefSeq and is a predicted model, not a curated record. The transcript has 6 exons.